AUUGAACGCUGGCGGCAUGCUUUACACAUGCAAGUCGAACGGUAACAGGCCGCAAGGUGCUGACGAGUGGCGAACGGGUGAGUAAUGCAUCGGAACGUGCCCAGUCGUGGGGGAUAACGCAGCGAAAGCUGCGCUAAUACCGCAUACGAUCUAUGGAUGAAAGCGGGGGACCGUAAGGCCUCGCGCGAUUGGAGCGGCCGAUGUCAGAUUAGGUAGUUGGUGGGGUAAAGGCUCACCAAGCCGACGAUCUGUAGCUGGUCUGAGAGGACGACCAGCCACACUGGGACUGAGACACGGCCCAGACUCCUACGGGAGGCAGUGGGGAAUUUUGGACAAUGGGGGCAACCCUGAUCCAGCAAUGCCGCGUGCAGGAAGAAGGCCUUCGGGUUGUAAACUGCUUUUGUACGGAACGAAACGGCUCUGGUUAAUACCUGGGGCUAAUGACGGUACCGUAAGAAUAAGCACCGGCUAACUACGUGCCAGCCGCCGCGGUAA
Molecule: ribosomal RNA, 495 nt
Filed under: uncultured bacterium
Lineage: Bacteria
Description: partial 16S ribosomal RNA
Rfam family: Bacterial small subunit ribosomal RNA
Source: RNAcentral